Molecule: unclassified non-coding RNA, 1283 nt
Filed under: Hevea brasiliensis (rubber tree)
Lineage: Eukaryota; Viridiplantae; Streptophyta; Magnoliopsida; Malpighiales; Euphorbiaceae
Source: RNAcentral
AAAAAAUGCUCACGCACUCUCCUCUCAUCAACCUUCUCUACUAAACUCAAACUAGCUGAUCUCUCUUUGUAUCUGUAACCAUGGUCCGUGAAAGAAAACUUGUGGAGGAGGUCUCUGGGUGGCUUAGACUCUACGAUGAUGGCUCAGUGGACAGGACAUGGACUGGACCUCCUCAGGUCAAGUUCAUGGCCGAUCCUGUCCCUGCCCACCAGGAUUUUAUUGACGGAGUUGCCACCCGUGAUGUCACCAUCGAUGAAAAUUCUGGUCUUCGUGUUAGAAUUUAUCUGCCCGAGCCAAACUCAGAAGACCUUAAUAAGUUGCCUGUAAUCCUCCAUUUUCAUGGGGGUGGUUUUUGCAUUAGCCAAGCUGAUUGGUAUAUGUAUUAUAAUAUAUAUACUAGGCUUGCUAAGUCAGUUCGAGCCAUCUGCGUCUCCGUCUACCUCCGGCUUGCCCCUGAGCACCGUCUCCCAGCUGCCUGUGAUGAUGGGUUCUCUGCUCUUCUUUGGCUGCGUUCUUUGGCUCAAGGACGGUCAUCUGAGCCAUGGCUGAAUGAUUAUGCAGAUUUCAACCGUGUUUUUCUCAUUGGAGAUAGCUCCGGAGGGAAUCUAGUGCAUGAAGUGGCAGCACGCGCUGGGAACGUUGAUCUAAGCCCUCUGAGACUCGCCGGCGGCAUCCCAGUCCACCCUGGGUUUGUGAGGUCUGAAAGGAGCAAAUCAGAGAUGGAGCAACCAGAGUCACCUUUCUUAACCCUAGACAUGGUGGACAAGUUCUUGGGGUUGGCAUUGCCAGUGGGAUGCACCAAGGAUCACCCAAUUACGUGCCCAAUGGGAACAGCUGCGCCCCAACUGGACAGCCUAAAUCUGCCACCUCUGCUGCUAUGUGUGGCGGAGAUGGACUUGAUAAAGGACACUGAGAUGGAGUACUAUGAGGCCACGAAAAAGGCAAACAAGGAUGUGGAGUUACUGAUUAGCCCUGGAAUGGGUCACAGUUUUUACCUGAACAAGAUUGCCUUGGAUAUGGAUCCUCUUACUGCAGAGCAGACUACUGCCCUUAUUGAAGGGAUCCAAGAGUUCAUCAAUAAGCACUAGUUAAUUAUAUUAAUUUUUCAAUUUACCACAGUGAAAACUCGGAUAAGAGCUUAUUAGUAUGUGAUGUGCCUUUGGCCAAGUCGGCUUAGGCAUACAUUAUAAUAUCAAAUAAUGAAUACGCUUCUUUUGUAACAGUAUGUGAUGUGAUUAAUAUGUAAUUGAUUAUUAAAGUAUUUUAACUAUUUUCAAUUGAAU